CCUACGGGAUGCAGCAGUGGGGAAUAUUGGACAAUGGGCGAAAGCCUGAUCCAGCAAUGCCGCGUGAGUGAUGAAGGCCUUAGGGUCGUAAAGCUCUUUUACCCGGGAUGAUAAUGACAGUACCGGGAGAAUAAGCCCCGGCUAACUCCGUGCCAGCAGCCGCGGUAAUACGGAGGGGGCUAGCGUUGUUCGGAAUUACUGGGCGUAAAGCGUGCGUAGGCGGUUAUUCAAGUCAGAGGUGAAAGCCCGGGGCUCAACCCCGGAACGGCCUUUGAAACUAGAUAGCUAGAAUCUUGGAGAGGUCAGUGGAAUUCCGAGUGUAGAGGUGAAAUUCGUAGAUAUUCGGAAGAACACCAGUGGCGAAGGCGACUGACUGGACAAGUAUUGACGCUGAGGCACGAAAGCGUGGGGAGCAAACAGGAUUAGAUACCCUGGUAGUCCACGCCGUAAACGAUGAUAACUAGCUGUUCGGGUACUUGGUAUCUGAGUGGCGCAGCUACGACAUAAGUUAUCCGUCCGUCGGGGUACGGGUCGGCGAGAAGUAAACGUAACAAAUAGAAGUUAGACGGCGUGUAGACGUUGCGAACGGACGACGACGAGGGAGGAGG
This 608-nucleotide ribosomal RNA is filed under the name uncultured bacterium. RNAcentral's name for it is "bacterial SSU rRNA". The stretch from base 1 to 517 matches the Rfam family "Bacterial small subunit ribosomal RNA", at positions 338 to 873 of the family's 1533-position model. The record is from RNAcentral.